AUGUCCUGGAUCCCCAGUAGUGGUGGUGGCGGGCCCUUUACCUGUCCUGGCCUCUUGGACCUCAUCUUAAUGGAUCUGCCAGAACGGACCACCCCUGCUGGAGACGGAUAUAAGAGAGUUCUGCCAGUCUCCCCCAAUGUAUAUGUGUGUGUCCAGUCUCAGCAACUUGUCCAGUCAUCAGACCCAGUGGUGAUAAAGCCCGGGAAUUCCUAUAGAGUCUCAUGUACGGCUUCUGGAUUCCCCUUCAGUAGCUUCUAUAUGAGCUGGGUUAGACAGAAUCCUAGCGGAGGAUUACAGUGGGUUGCUCGGGUUAGUAGCGAUGGAGGCAGCACAUGGUAUCAUGAUUCUGUUAAAGGACGAGUCACAAUCUCCAGAGAUAACAGUAAUAACCUGUUAUAUCUACAAAUGACCAACAUGAAGACUGAGGACUCUGCCGUGUAUUACUGUGCUAGAGACACACUGAUAGAAGACAAUGUCUGAGUGUAACAAAAACUGAUACACAGUUAUCUCACUGGCCACUAGGCCACUAGACAUGUCAUUUUUUGAAAAAGAAAACACGCAAAAAAUUUUG
Non-coding RNA from Hyla sarda, 571 nucleotides. NCBI's taxonomy places the organism in Eukaryota, Metazoa, Chordata, Amphibia, Anura, Hylidae. The record is from the annotation of a RefSeq genome assembly.